Molecule: transfer RNA, 85 nt
Filed under: Felis catus (domestic cat)
Lineage: Eukaryota; Metazoa; Chordata; Mammalia; Carnivora; Felidae
Also listed under: 2 other names
Rfam family: tRNA
About the family: Transfer RNA (tRNA) molecules are approximately 80 nucleotides in length. Their secondary structure includes four short double-helical elements and three loops (D, anti-codon, and T loops).
Source: Rfam by way of RNAcentral
GCCUGAGUGGCUCAGUCAGUUAAGCAUCUGACUUCAGCUCAGGUCAUGAUCUUGCAGUUCAUGAGUUAAAACCCCAUAUCGGGCU